RNAcentral lists this ribosomal RNA (253 nucleotides) under uncultured prokaryote. Its description in RNAcentral is "partial 16S ribosomal RNA". It matches the Rfam family "Bacterial small subunit ribosomal RNA", at positions 524 to 776 of the family's 1533-position model. The record is from RNAcentral.
UACAGAGGGUGCGAGCGUUGUUCGGAAUUAUUGGGCGUAAAGGGCGCGUAGGCGGUGCCACAAGUCACUUGUGAAAUCUCCGGGCUUAACUCGGAGCCUGCAGGCGAGACUGUGGUGCUGGAGUGUGGGAGAGGUGCGUGGAAUUCCCGGUGUAGCGGUGAAAUGCGUAGAUAUCAGGAGGAACACCGGUGGUGUAGACGGCUCACUGGACCGUAACUGACGCUGAGGCACGAAAGCGUGGGUAGCAAACAGG